RNA transcript from Sapajus apella (tufted capuchin), 1428 nucleotides. It is a transcript of the gene named NSE4 homolog A, SMC5-SMC6 complex component, with no coding region annotated. The record is from RefSeq and is a predicted model, not a curated record. Lineage: Eukaryota; Metazoa; Chordata; Mammalia; Primates; Cebidae. The transcript has 12 exons.
GGGGUUUCAGUUUCUGGCGCGAACUUCCGCCGUUCCGAAGCUGCACCGCGAAUUGGCGCGAUGUCUGGGGACAGCAGCGGCCGCGGGCCCGAGGGCCGGGGCCGGGGCCGGGGCCGCGAGCCGCACCGGGAUCGCACCCGCUCCCGGUCGCGGUCCCCGCUGUCGCCCGGGGCCCGCCGCGGCGCCGCGCCGGAGCGCAGGGAGGCCCCAGAACGCCCGAGCCUGGAGGACACAGAGCCGUCGGAUUCCGAUGACGAGAUGAUAGACCCGGCCAGCUUGGAGGAGGAGGCCGACCAAGGCCUGUGCCGCCAGAUCCGCCAUCAGUACCGGGCGCUCAUCAACUCCGUUCAACAAAACCGGGAGGACAUACUAAAUGCCGGUGACAAAUUAACAGAGGUCCUUGAAGAGGCCAACACCCUGUUUAAUGAAGUGUCCCGAGCAAGAGAAGCGGUCCUGGAUGCCCACUUUCUUGUUUUGGCUUCAGAUUUGGGCAAAGAGAAAGCAAAGCAGCUGCGCUCAGACCUGAGCUCAUUUGACAUGUUAAGAUAUGUUGAAACUCUACUGACACAUAUGGGUGUAAAUCCGCUAGAAGCUGAAGAACUCAUCCGUGAUGAAGAUAGUUCUGAUUUUGAAUUCAUAGUCUAUGACUCCUGGAAAAUAUCAGGCAAAACAGCAGAAAACACCUUUAAUAAAACUCAUACAUUCCACUUUCUGUUGGGUUCAAUAUAUGGAGAGUUUCCUGCGCCAAAGCCACGAACUGAUCGUCCAAGAAAAGUUCCUACAGUACGAGAGGAGAGGGCAAUGCCCGCCCAGUUAAGCAGAAUGGAAGAAUCUCACCAAGAAGCAACAGAGAAAGAAGUAGAAAGAAUCUUGGGAUUAUUGCAGACAUAUUUUCGAGAAGAUCGACAGCCUUUUAGAGGUGGCUUCCAGCUGAUACCCCAAUGUCCUUCUUUGACUUUGUGGUUGAUCCACAUUCUUUCCCCCGUACAGUGGAAAACAUCUUUCAUGUUUCCUUCAUUAUACGGGAUGGUUUUGCAAGAAUAAGACUUGACCAAGACCGACUGCCAAUAAUAGAGCCUGUUAAUAUUAACGAAGAAAAUGAGGGAUUUGAACAAAACACACAAGUUAGGAAUCAAGGAAUUAUAGCUUUGAGUUAUCGUGACUGGGAGGAGAUUGUGAAGACCUUUGAGAUUUCAGAGCCUGUGAUUACUCCAAGUCAGAGGCAGCAGAGGCUAAGUGCUUGAUGCUCGCUGAAGGACUCAGAUGGAUAAUGAAGUCCAGAAAGGAAAGUGGCACAUGUUGUAUAUAUUGUAUGAUUCAACAUUUUUAAAGGCAGAUUGUUUUUAGUAAAAUGUAGCUUUUGGUAGUUAAUACAUUUGUGAUGAUUGUCUUUGAUUAAAGGAAACUCACUGCCAUAUUCACAAAUAA